This is a long non-coding RNA of Sapajus apella (tufted capuchin), 334 nucleotides long. RefSeq lists it as uncharacterized. Lineage: Eukaryota; Metazoa; Chordata; Mammalia; Primates; Cebidae. The transcript has 2 exons. The record is from RefSeq and is a predicted model, not a curated record.
UUUAAGUUCUGGGAUACAUGUGCAGAACGUGCAGGUUUGUUACAUAGGUGAACUUGUGUCACUAGGGUUUGCUGUACAGACUAUUUUGUCACCCAGGUACUAAGCCUGGUACCCUGUAGUUAUUCUUUCUGAUCCUCUCCCUCCCCCAAUCCCCCACCCUCCUCUAGGCCCAGUUUUGUUUUAUUCGAAGUCCUGGACUCUCGCAACCUUUUACCUUUUCCUGCCCCGCCUGCCACCCACACCUUCCACCUCAGUCCUAAGUGGCGUGUGGUUCCCACUUGGGACCAAGGAAGGGUGUUUUUCCGUGGCACUUUCCCUGGCUUUGCCGUUGAAA